RNAcentral lists this ribosomal RNA (204 nucleotides) under uncultured bacterium. Its description in RNAcentral is "partial 16S ribosomal RNA". It matches the Rfam family "Bacterial small subunit ribosomal RNA", at positions 524 to 725 of the family's 1533-position model. The record is from RNAcentral.
UACGUAGGGUGCAAGCGUUAAUCGGAAUCACUGGGCGUAAAGCGCACGUAGGCGGACUCUUAAGUCGGUGGUGAAAUCCUGGAGCUCAACUCCAGAACUGCCUUCGAUACUGGGAGUCUUGAGUUCGGGAGAGGUGAGUGGAACUGCGAGUGUAGAGGUGAAAUUCGUAGAUAUUCGCAAGAACACCGGUGGCGAAGGCGCUAC